GCAAGUCGAACGAACCUUUAUGGUUAGUGGCGCACGGGUGCGUAACACGUGGGAAUAUACCCUUUAGUGCGGAAUAACGGUUGGAAACGACCGCUAAUACCGCAUAAUGACUCCGGUCCAAAGAUUUAUCGCUGAAGGAUUAGCCCGCGCCUGAUUAGGUAGUUGGUGAGGUAAGAGCUCACCAAGCCCACGAUCAGUAGCUGGUCUGAGAGGAUGAUC
This 219-nucleotide ribosomal RNA is filed under the name uncultured bacterium. Its description in RNAcentral is "partial 16S ribosomal RNA". It matches the Rfam family "Bacterial small subunit ribosomal RNA", at positions 57 to 305 of the family's 1533-position model. The record is from RNAcentral.